RNAcentral lists this long non-coding RNA (409 nucleotides) under Rosa chinensis. RNAcentral describes it as "sRNA RchiOBHm_Chr5g0029411". The record is from RNAcentral. Lineage: Eukaryota; Viridiplantae; Streptophyta; Magnoliopsida; Rosales; Rosaceae.
CCCGGCGAAAUUCCUCGGACAAGAAACGUAAGCCUUGAUCCGAGAGGUUGACCCGGUCCAGCCCAGCCCCGGAUAACGGCUGCUGUAGAAUCCGAAUGAAACUUGGUCGCUGACGCCAUCCACCUCCUCCUCUUCCACCACUCCGGCCUUCACCAACAGAUAAAUCCCGACGAGCCUCUCCUCGGCAUCCUUGAUCGAGUGGCUUCUUGUACGUCACGUCAGCACGGCUGUCAACGACUCCGGCGAGCUUGGCCUUAGCUGAGUCAACGGAAUCGUGAUUGGGUUGGUCGCCGAUUGCGGUGAGGACGGAUUGGAUAUGAGCCACGUCUGUCAUGGCAUACGACGGAUCGGGUCUGAGCCACGUCCGCCAUGGCGUACACUCGUCAGAUUUUGGGGGUCAAUUCAGACG